This 1242-nucleotide ribosomal RNA is filed under the name metagenome. Its description in RNAcentral is "bacterial LSU rRNA". It matches the Rfam family "Bacterial large subunit ribosomal RNA", at positions 1564 to 2815 of the family's 2925-position model. The record is from RNAcentral.
UGAAUACGAGAUGCUACGGCGUCGAAGCAGUGUAUGUCAGACUUCCAAGAAAAGCUCGCAAUGUCAUAAAUAAAGAAUGCCUGUACCAUAACCGACACAGGUGGGUAGGUAGAGUAUACUAAGGGGCGCGAGAUAACUCUCUCUAAGGAACUCGGCAAAAUAACUCCGUAACUUCGGGAGAAGGAGUGCCUUCUUUAAGAAGGUUGCAAUAACAAGAUCCAAGCAACUGUUUAUCAAAAACACAGGUCUCCGCUAAGUCGUAAGACGAUGUAUGGGGGCUGACGCCUGCCCAGUGCCAGAAGGUUAAAGAAGUUGGUUAGCUUUUGCGAAGCUGGUGACUGAAGCCCUGGUGAACGGCGGCCGUAACAAUAACGGUCCUAAGGUAGCGAAAUUCCUUGUCGGGUAAGUUCCGACCCGCACGAAAGGCGUAAUGAUUUGGAUACUGUCUCGGAGAGGGACUCGGUGAAAUAGACUUGUCUGUGAAGAUGCGGACUACCUGCACCAGGACAGAAAGACCCUAUGAAGCUUUACUGUAACUUGAAAUUGAAAUUGGACUUUAUUUGCGCAGUAUAGGUGGAAGGCGUUGAAAGUAAUCUUGCGGGAUUAGUGGAGCCAUCAGUGAGAUACCACUCCUAUAAUGUUAGAUUUCUAACUUUGGAUCAUGAUCUGGUCAAAGAACAGUUUCAGGCGGGCAGUUUGACUGGGGCGGUCGCCUCCCAAAUGGUAACGGAGGCGUACAAAGGUUUCCUCUGAACGGGUAGAAAUCGUAUCUAGAGUGUAAAGGCAUAAGGAAGCUUGACUGUGAGACCUACAAGUCGAGCAGGGACGAAAGUCGGUCUUAGUGAUCUGACGGUGCUGAGUGGAAAGGCCGUCACUCAACGGAUAAAAGUUACUCUAAGGAUAACAGGCUGAUCUCCCCCAAGAGUUCACAUCGACGGGGAGGUUUGGCACCUCGAUGUCGGCUCAUCGCAUCCUGGGGCGGUAGUACGUCCCAAGGGUUGGGCUGUUCGCCCAUGAAAGCGGUACGCGAGCUGGGUUCAGAACGUCGUGAGACAGUUCGGUCCAUAUCCGGUGUAGGCUUAGAAUAUUGAGAGGAGCCUUCUUUAGUACGAGAGGACCGAGAAGGACAUACCUCUGGUGUACCAGUUAUCGUGCCAACGGUAAACGCUGGGUAGCUAUGUAUGGAGAGGAUAACCGCUGAAAGCAUCUAAGUGGGAAGCCCACCUCAAGAUGAGUAUUCUC